GAUGAACGCUAGCUACAGGCUUAACACAUGCAAGUCGAGGGGUAACGACAUCGAAAGCUUGCUUUUGAUGGGCGUCGACCGGCGCACGGGUGAGUAACGCGUAUCCAACCUGCCCACCACUUGGGGAUAACCUUGCGAAAGUAAGACUAAUACCCAAUGAUAUCUCUAAAAGACAUCUGAAAGAGAUUAAAGAUUUAUCGGUGAUGGAUGGGGAUGCGUCUGAUUAGCUUGUUGGCGGGGUAACGGCCCACCAAGGCUACGAUCAGUAGGGGUGCUGAGAGGAAGGGCCCCCACAUUGGAACUGAGACACGGUCCAAACUCCUACGGGAGGCAGAAGUGAGGAAUAUUGGUCAAUGGACGAGAGUCUGAACCAGCCAAGUAGCGUGCAGGAUGACGGCCCUAUGGGUUGUAAACUGCUUUUAUAAGGGAAUAAAGUGAGUCUCGUGAGACUUUUUGCAUGUACCUUAUGAAUAAGGACCGGCUAAUUCCGUGCCAGCAGCCGCCGUAA
This 508-nucleotide ribosomal RNA is filed under the name uncultured bacterium. Its description in RNAcentral is "partial 16S ribosomal RNA". It matches the Rfam family "Bacterial small subunit ribosomal RNA", at positions 28 to 523 of the family's 1533-position model. The record is from RNAcentral.